This is a long non-coding RNA of Homo sapiens (human), 1267 nucleotides long. Ensembl annotates it as mir-99a-let-7c cluster host gene. Its record names the gene MIR99AHG. The record is from Ensembl. NCBI's taxonomy places the organism in Eukaryota, Metazoa, Chordata, Mammalia, Primates, Hominidae.
AUAGCACACUUUUACUCUACGCAACUGUUGCUUUUUCAUGAUCUUCAGGAAUUUUACUGGGAUAAUUAUCCAAAUAAAUUGCAAGCAUUCUAUCCAAAUGGAGCUCUUUCUGAGAUGAAGAGAAUUCUCAAUGUCAAGAUUUGAACAAGAAGAGAAUGGAAUACACAAUAUGGACAUCCAUAAAAAUUCAUCAGAGAGCAUUUUACUACUGAGCUGCAAAGGGAAAAACUUAAAAUGGAUAUGAAAAGUGAAGAAAGUGAUCAUAGGAGAAAACCAUUUCAGAUAUCUGUGGAUAUCUCUCCAGAACUUCAUGUAUAUUUGGAUAAAAGAAAGCUUCGGGCUUUGUAUUUCUUGAAAACCAAGAAAAAUCAACCACCUCAGAAGAGCCAGAUUCCACUUCUGUGGCCAGGACUUUUACAUUAUGGCUGGUCCGAUUGUUUUACCCUGCGUUCUAUGCUACUAAACCUUGGAUCAUUCCUAAAGUACAAAUUCUGUUCUCGAACCACAAACAAGGCUAAAAGAUCGGAGGAAAUUCAGUGAAUAUACAGGAUUGGGGUUGUGUAUUUUUAAAAGUAUUGAGCUUUAUAAUGUAAUUAUUCAAGAAAUAGAAUCAUGGUUUUUUUAUGAUGUUGCCAGCAUUUUAAAUUACAUGUUUAUUAAGUGGCAUUGCUCAAAUAACUACAGAGUAUGCGUGGAAAUAUUUGCUGUCUGAAUAGUUUGGAGAUUCAAAGAGAAAAAUCAAGCUUCAGAGGUAUUAAAUUAUGACAUGCAGAAAAGUUUUUGUUUUGUUCUUAACUGCAACGGUAUAUAUUUAAAUCCGAUUUAAAGUAUUAUAUGUCCUGGGCCCACCUUACCAGUUGUGCUGUAUAGCAGUGUAAUGGGAAGCAAAAUUUCAAUUAGGGUCCCAUUAACUGGCAUAUAAUCCUUCUUUAAUGUAAUAGAGGCUAUGGUGUUGCUGUACAAAUCUGCUAGAAGCAGAUUUUAACCCAUGUUUAGUCUCUUUCUUUGGAUCUAAUGGAAUGACUCUUAACUGUUCAUUGUCUGCAUUGUUUCUCAUAUUCUUCAUUAUUUUAAGGUCUGGAAUUAGUCUAUAAAUGGUCGUCGUGAUUACUCAGCUCAUCCUAACUUUUAUAUAUCAUAUAUAUUUCUACUGAAGUAUUUUAAAUAGUAUUUAGAGGUAAAAGUCUAAGUGAACCCAACUGUAAUUUCUAAGCUAUCCUUAUUUCUGGAAGAAGAAUUCUACCGCAUCAAACCAGACUUUUCCUAG